CAGCAGCCACGGGAAUACGAAGGGGGCUAGCGUUGUUCGGAAUUACUGGGCGUAAAGCGCACGUAGGCGGAUAUUUAAGUCAGGGGUGAAAUCCCAGAGCUCAACUCUGGAACUGCCUUUGAUACUGGGUAUCUUGAGUAUGGAAGAGGUUAGUGGAAUUGCGAGUGUAGAGGUGAAAUUCGUAGAUAUUCGCAGGAACACCAGUGGCGAAGGCGGCUAACUGGUCCAUAACUGACGCUGAGGUGCGAAAGCGUGGGGAGCAAACAGGAUUAGAUACCCGCGUAGUCCCUGUCUCUUAUAA
RNAcentral lists this ribosomal RNA (301 nucleotides) under uncultured bacterium. RNAcentral's name for it is "partial 16S ribosomal RNA". It matches the Rfam family "Bacterial small subunit ribosomal RNA", at positions 509 to 809 of the family's 1533-position model. The record is from RNAcentral.